This 489-nucleotide ribosomal RNA is filed under the name uncultured bacterium. Its description in RNAcentral is "partial 16S ribosomal RNA". It matches the Rfam family "Bacterial small subunit ribosomal RNA", at positions 30 to 506 of the family's 1533-position model. The record is from RNAcentral.
AUUGAACGCUGGCGGCAGGCCUAACACAUGCAAGUCGAACGGUAACAGGAAGAAGCUUGCUUCUUUGCUGACGAGUGGCGGACGGGUGAGUAAUGUCUGGGAAACUGCCUGAUGGAGGGGGAUAACUACUGGAAACGGUAGCUAAUACCGCAUAACGUCGCAAGACCAAAGAGGGGGACCUUCGGGCCUCUUGCCAUCGGAUGUGCCCAGAUGGGAUUAGCUAGUAGGUGGGGUAACGGCUCACCUAGGCGACGAUCCCUAGCUGGUCUGAGAGGAUGACCAGCCACACUGGAACUGAGACACGGUCCAGACUCCUACGGGAGGCAGCAGUGGGGAAUAUUGCACAAUGGGCGCAAGCCUGAUGCAGCCAUGCCGCGUGUAUGAAGAAGGCCUUCGGGUUGUAAAGUACUUUCAGCGGGGAGGAAGGCAGUAAAGUUAAUACCUUUGCUCAUUGACGUUACCCGCAGAAGAAGCACCGGCUAACUCCGU